UGGACUAGCGACUUGGAUCCAAAUUUUGUUACACCGCCGUUAAAUCCCGUUUCGUGUUGACUUGGCGGUGGGUCAUGCUGCUACCACUUAAAGGUUACUGCGUAAGGAGGUAUUGUUGGGGGGAAUUCAUUGUUUCAUACCAUCGUACCUCCCUGACAUUCAGCUGCUGUAGAACCAGUCUCAGCUGCUGAGUCUCAGCUGCUGUAGAACCAGUCUCAGCUGCUGAGUUUCAGCUGCUGUAGAACCAGUCAUUGUAGAGUGUACGACACAUUCCAGCCAACAAUGUUGUGCAAAAUAUUCAUCUAGCCUACUUCAAGCAGUCUUGCUGGGUUUGAAUACUAAUGGCCCGUAGAACGAUGGACAGAUAGGAAAUGAGCACUCUUCAGCCAUGUAUUCUUGCUGAAGGACUCGAUGACACUGGUUGCCGCGGCGGAUACCAAUGCAUCGGUGGGCUGAACAAAGGGAAUGCGUGGGUGGUGGUGGCCCACGAGGAUACAGGAAGUGACCCAUACAAAUCAAAUACACAACCAGAUCUGAGCCGCCAGUCAGGGCCGCUCAGUGCCGACGAGAUCUGAUCACAAAGGUGUCAUGGAGCGGUGUGACCGAGCCCCCAGAGACACGACGCAGGAGACCUACCUUGGGUGGUUUAAAAGGAUAAUCUGUGGGGAAAUGAAUAGUGAGGAAAAAUACUCCGCCCUGGUAGGGACUGUCAUUCUGCAGGGGGGAAAGAAGAGCAGCAGAUCAUCAGUCCCCACCUUCAACAGCGCAUCAAUCUGUACAUUUGAUACCGGUUUAGUUUAAUGUAUACUUACAGGCCCCAUAAUAGUAGCUUGCCAGUGAAA
This is a long non-coding RNA of Gadus macrocephalus (Pacific cod), 842 nucleotides long. RefSeq lists it as uncharacterized. The transcript is spliced from 2 exons. The record is from RefSeq and is a predicted model, not a curated record. NCBI's taxonomy places the organism in Eukaryota, Metazoa, Chordata, Actinopteri, Gadiformes, Gadidae.